Molecule: microRNA precursor, 256 nt
Filed under: Oryza sativa Japonica Group (Japanese rice)
Lineage: Eukaryota; Viridiplantae; Streptophyta; Magnoliopsida; Poales; Poaceae
Description: MIR812 microRNA precursor family
Rfam family: MIR812 microRNA precursor family
Source: Rfam by way of RNAcentral
UUUAAACGCAGCGAUGAGUUUCCGUGUCCAAUUUUAAUUGUCUGUCCUAUUUGAUUUUUUUUACCAAAUUAAAAAGCAUAAGUCACGCUCUCACGUAUAAAGUACUAUUCAUGUUUUAUCACCUAAUAACAAUAAAAAUGCUAAUCAUACAAAAUUUUAAAUAAGAGGGAUGAUUAAUAAAAAUGCUAAUCAUACAAAAUUUCAAAUAAGAGGGAUGAUUAAAGUUGGACACAAACAACUUACAGCUACGUUUAAA